UACGGAGGGUGCGAGUGUUAUUCGGAAUCACUGGGCGUAAAGAGCACGUAGGCGGAUAGGUAAGUCAGAUGUGAAAUCCCGGAGCUCAACUCCGGAACUGCAUUUGAUACUGCCUGUCUUGAGUGAGGUAGAGGGGGGUGGAAUUCCCGGUGUAGAGGUGAAAUUCGUAGAGAUCGGGAGGAACAUCAGAGGCGAAGGCGACCCCCUGGGCCUCUACUGACGCUGAGGUGCGAAAGCGUGGGGAGCAAACAGG
This 253-nucleotide ribosomal RNA is filed under the name uncultured prokaryote. RNAcentral describes it as "partial 16S ribosomal RNA". It matches the Rfam family "Bacterial small subunit ribosomal RNA", at positions 524 to 776 of the family's 1533-position model. The record is from RNAcentral.